UUUGGUCAGAAAAUUUUCUUACAGCAAUGAAGAAAAAAAGAAAGCCCAAACAGAAGUGGCUUGCCAAAGAAUUUGAAACUUUAACCACUUGAGUCAAUCAAGAAUUUAUUCAGAACUAGAAGAGUUCAAGAAUUUUCCAGCUCGAUAUCAGGAGAAUCACCAACUUCAGCUGAAACACUUCUAGGAGCUACGUGCUUAUCACCUUUUGAACGGCAACUUCGAACACAGGUAGUCCUGUCUGCACUAUGUGUACACUGUGAGUCUCCAAGGCAACACCACACACAAGAGACCAACUAAUGCCUUCUGUUGUGAGGCUCCCUGGGAUUUUCAGCUGUUAUUUUGAGAUCUGGCUGCCAAGACUGGAAUUCCUUUCCUGUGGACCAUUCCUCCAGAAUAAGCAUGCUUGGAGACAUAUGUAGGAGAGGAUGACCUUAUUGCUAAGACCCUAAAAAUGAGGCCUUCAGUAUCUCAAGCAAGAAAAACUCUCCCUUCUUAUGUUAUAAAAGCCCAGGAGAGCAGUACUAAGUUUGGAGGAAGAAGAUGUGCACCAAUGGAAGGUAAGUCAGGAAAAGUGGCAUAAAAUUGUAUGUGAGGCCAAUACAUUUCCUCCCCUAGAAUUCACUCUGUAAGGCUUAGUCUGAAACUCAGAAUUGUUUUGAAAACAAUUUUCUAAAUCUUAUAAUUA
This is a long non-coding RNA of Mus pahari (shrew mouse), 685 nucleotides long. RefSeq lists it as uncharacterized. The record is from RefSeq and is a predicted model, not a curated record. Lineage: Eukaryota; Metazoa; Chordata; Mammalia; Rodentia; Muridae. The transcript has 3 exons.